UUUUUCAAGAAAUCUAUUUCAGUAGAGCGUAUGAUGUCGAUAGCCCGAGGUAGAGCACUCAAUGGCUAAGAUGGCGUCAUUCACCUGCCAACCGCAAGGAAAUUCUUAAUACAGUCCUCGAUCAUUUGUAUAGACAGACCUUUUGGGUGCUAAGAUCCAAAGUCAAGAGGAGAACAUCCCAGAUCGUAUGCUAAGGUCCCUAAGCAAUCACUUAGUGGAAAAGGAAGUGAUCGAGAGAUGACAACCAGGAGGUGGGCUUGGAAGUAGCCAUCCUUUGAAGAAAGCAUAAUAGCUCACUAGUCUAGCUCCAUAGCACUUAAAAUGUCUUGGGGCUUAAGUGAUUCACCAAAGCGACGAGACCUUGAAAGCUUCUUUUUCAAGUGUCAGUAGUAAGAAGGUUCUGUCAAUCGGGAAGGAUUUUGGUGACAAGAACUUGAGACAACACAAGUG
This 450-nucleotide non-coding RNA is filed under the name Nicotiana attenuata. RNAcentral's name for it is "rRNA LSU_rRNA_eukarya". It matches the Rfam family "Bacterial large subunit ribosomal RNA", at positions 853 to 1290 of the family's 2925-position model. Lineage: Eukaryota; Viridiplantae; Streptophyta; Magnoliopsida; Solanales; Solanaceae. The record is from Rfam by way of RNAcentral.